AUAGUGGUCCCUUAAGGACCAAGCUUCUGGAAUAAAAGGGAAUCAUGACAUGUUACACAUGUCAUGUGUCCUUAAGGGGUAGCUUUUUGAACCACCUUUGCCAGCAUAACUUGAAGUAAUUGUUUUCUAUAUAACUUCAUCAGUCUCUCACAUUGUUGUGGAGGAACAUUGUUUCAGUUCAUUGAGGUCUGCUGGCAUUUGUUCAUUCACCGCUCUCUUAACCCCUUAAGG
This is a non-coding RNA of Pelobates cultripes (western spadefoot toad), 231 nucleotides long. Lineage: Eukaryota; Metazoa; Chordata; Amphibia; Anura; Pelobatidae. The record is from the annotation of a GenBank genome assembly.